Molecule: ribosomal RNA, 2904 nt
Filed under: Escherichia coli
Lineage: Bacteria; Pseudomonadati; Pseudomonadota; Gammaproteobacteria; Enterobacterales; Enterobacteriaceae
Description: 23S ribosomal RNA
Rfam family: Bacterial large subunit ribosomal RNA
Source: RNAcentral
GGUUAAGCGACUAAGCGUACACGGUGGAUGCCUUGGCAGUCAGAGGCGAUGAAGGACGUGCUAAUCUGCGAUAAGCGUCGGUAAGGUGAUAUGAACCGUUAUAACCGGCGAUUUCCGAAUGGGGAAACCCAGUGUGUUUCGACACACUAUCAUUAACUGAAUCCAUAGGUUAAUGAGGCGAACCGGGGGAACUGAAACAUCUAAGUACCCCGAGGAAAAGAAAUCAACCGAGAUUCCCCCAGUAGCGGCGAGCGAACGGGGAGCAGCCCAGAGCCUGAAUCAGUGUGUGUGUUAGUGGAAGCGUCUGGAAAGGCGCGCGAUACAGGGUGACAGCCCCGUACACAAAAAUGCACAUACUGUGAGCUCGAUGAGUAGGGCGGGACACGUGGUAUCCUGUCUGAAUAUGGGGGGACCAUCCUCCAAGGCUAAAUACUCCUGACUGACCGAUAGUGAACCAGUACCGUGAGGGAAAGGCGAAAAGAACCCCGGCGAGGGGAGUGAAAAAGAACCUGAAACCGUGUACGUACAAGCAGUGGGAGCCUCUUAAUGGGGUGACUGCGUACCUUUUGUAUAAUGGGUCAGCGACUUAUAUUCUGUAGCAAGGUUAACCGAAUAGGGGAGCCGAAGGGAAACCGAGUCUUAACUGGGCGUUAAGUUGCAGGGUAUAGACCCGAAACCCGGUGAUCUAGCCAUGGGCAGGUUGAAGGUUGGGUAACACUAACUGGAGGACCGAACCGACUAAUGUUGAAAAAUUAGCGGAUGACUUGUGGCUGGGGGUGAAAGGCCAAUCAAACCGGGAGAUAGCUGGUUCUCCCCGAAAGCUAUUUAGGUAGCGCCUCGUGAAUUCAUCUCCGGGGGUAGAGCACUGUUUCGGCAAGGGGGUCAUCCCGACUUACCAACCCGAUGCAAACUGCGAAUACCGGAGAAUGUUAUCACGGGAGACACACGGCGGGUGCUAACGUCCGUCGUGAAGAGGGAAACAACCCAGACCGCCAGCUAAGGUCCCAAAGUCAUGGUUAAGUGGGAAACGAUGUGGGAAGGCCCAGACAGCCAGGAUGUUGGCUUAGAAGCAGCCAUCAUUUAAAGAAAGCGUAAUAGCUCACUGGUCGAGUCGGCCUGCGCGGAAGAUGUAACGGGGCUAAACCAUGCACCGAAGCUGCGGCAGCGACACUAUGUGUUGUUGGGUAGGGGAGCGUUCUGUAAGCCUGCGAAGGUGUACUGUGAGGUAUGCUGGAGGUAUCAGAAGUGCGAAUGCUGACAUAAGUAACGAUAAAGCGGGUGAAAAGCCCGCUCGCCGGAAGACCAAGGGUUCCUGUCCAACGUUAAUCGGGGCAGGGUGAGUCGACCCCUAAGGCGAGGCCGAAAGGCGUAGUCGAUGGGAAACAGGUUAAUAUUCCUGUACUUGGUGUUACUGCGAAGGGGGGACGGAGAAGGCUAUGUUGGCCGGGCGACGGUUGUCCCGGUUUAAGCGUGUAGGCUGGUUUUCCAGGCAAAUCCGGAAAAUCAAGGCUGAGGCGUGAUGACGAGGCACUACGGUGCUGAAGCAACAAAUGCCCUGCUUCCAGGAAAAGCCUCUAAGCAUCAGGUAACAUCAAAUCGUACCCCAAACCGACACAGGUGGUCAGGUAGAGAAUACCAAGGCGCUUGAGAGAACUCGGGUGAAGGAACUAGGCAAAAUGGUGCCGUAACUUCGGGAGAAGGCACGCUGAUAUGUAGGUGAAGUCCCUCGCGGAUGGAGCUGAAAUCAGUCGAAGAUACCAGCUGGCUGCAACUGUUUAUUAAAAACACAGCACUGUGCAAACACGAAAGUGGACGUAUACGGUGUGACGCCUGCCCGGUGCCGGAAGGUUAAUUGAUGGGGUUAGCGGUAACGCGAAGCUCUUGAUCGAAGCCCCGGUAAACGGCGGCCGUAACUAUAACGGUCCUAAGGUAGCGAAAUUCCUUGUCGGGUAAGUUCCGACCUGCACGAAUGGCGUAAUGAUGGCCAGGCUGUCUCCACCCGAGACUCAGUGAAAUUGAACUCGCUGUGAAGAUGCAGUGUACCCGCGGCAAGACGGAAAGACCCCGUGAACCUUUACUAUAGCUUGACACUGAACAUUGAGCCUUGAUGUGUAGGAUAGGUGGGAGGCUUUGAAGUGUGGACGCCAGUCUGCAUGGAGCCGGCCUUGAAAUACCACCCUUUAAUGUUUGAUGUUCUAACGUUGGCCCCUGAUCGGGGUUGCGGACAGUGUCUGGUGGGUAGUUUGACUGGGGCGGUCUCCUCCUAAAGAGUAACGGAGGAGCACGAAGGUUGGCUAAUCCUGGUCGGACAUCAGGAGGUUAGUGCAAUGGCAUAAGCCAGCUUGACUGCGAGCGUGACGGCGCGAGCAGGUGCGAAAGCAGGUCAUAGUGAUCCGGUGGUUCUGAAUGGAAGGGCCAUCGCUCAACGGAUAAAAGGUACUCCGGGGAUAACAGGCUGAUACCGCCCAAGAGUUCAUAUCGACGGCGGUGUUUGGCACCUCGAUGUCGGCUCAUCACAUCCUGGGGCUGAAGUAGGUCCCAAGGGUAUGGCUGUUCGCCAUUUAAAGUGGUACGCGAGCUGGGUUUAGAACGUCGUGAGACAGUUCGGUCCCUAUCUGCCGUGGGCGCUGGAGAACUGAGGGGGGCUGCUCCUAGUACGAGAGGACCGGAGUGGACGCAUCACUGGUGUUCGGGUUGUCAUGCCAAUGGCACUGCCCGGUAGCUAAAUGCGGAAGAGAUAAGUGCUGAAAGCAUCUAAGCACGAAACUUGCCCCGAGAUGAGUUCUCCCUGACUCCUUGAGAGUCCUGAAGAAACGUUGAAGACGACGACGUUGAUAGGCCGGGUGUGUAAGCGCAGCGAUGCGUUGAGCUAACCGGUACUAAUGAACCGUGAGGCUUAACCUU